Molecule: ribosomal RNA, 468 nt
Filed under: uncultured bacterium
Lineage: Bacteria
Description: partial 16S ribosomal RNA
Rfam family: Bacterial small subunit ribosomal RNA
Source: RNAcentral
UCCUCCCUCUUUCUUCGUGCUUAACACAUGCAAGUCGAACGGAAAGGCCCUGCUUUUGUGGGGUGCUCGAGUGGCGAACGGGUGAGUAACACGUGAGUAACCUGCCCUUGACUUUGGGAUAACUUCAGGAAACUGGGGCUAAUACCGGAUAGGAGCUCCUGCUGCAUGGUGGGGGUUGGAAAGUUUCGGCGGUUGGGGAUGGACUCGCGGCUUAUCAGCUUGUUGGUGGGGUAGUGGCUUACCAAGGCUUUGACGGGUAGCCGGCCUGAGAGGGUGACCGGCCAAAUUGGGACUGGGAUACGGCCCAGACUCCUACGGGAGGCAGCAGAGGGGAAUAUUGCACAAUGGGCGGAAGCCUGAUGCAGCAACGCCGCGUGCGGGAUGACGGCCUUCGGGUUGUAAACCGCUUUCGCCUGUGACGAAGCGUGAGUGACGGUAAUGGGUAAAGAAGCACCGGCUAACUACGUG